This 456-nucleotide ribosomal RNA is filed under the name uncultured soil bacterium. RNAcentral describes it as "bacterial SSU rRNA". It matches the Rfam family "Bacterial small subunit ribosomal RNA", at positions 26 to 473 of the family's 1533-position model. The record is from RNAcentral.
AGAGUGAACGCUGGCGGCAGGCCUAACACAUGCAAGUCGAACGGCAGCACAGGAGAGCUUGCUCUCUGGGUGGCGAGUGGCGGACGGGUGAGGAAUACGUCGGAAUCUGCCUAUUUGUGGGGGAUAACGUAGGGAAACUUACGCUAAUACCGCAUACGACCUACGGGUGAAAGCGGAGGACCUUCGGGCUUCGCGCAGAUAGAUGAGCCGACGUCGGAUUAGCUAGUUGGCGGGUAAAGGCCCACCAAGGCGACGAUCCGUAGCUGGUCUGAGAGGAUGAUCAGCCACACUGGAACUGAGACACGGUCCAGACUCCUACGGGAGGCAGCAGUGGGGAAUAUUGGACAAUGGGACGCAAAGGCCUGACUCCAGCCCAAUGCCGCGCGUGUGAAGAAGGCCUUCGGAUUGAAAGCACUUUAAGUGGAGAAGGUUAGUAACGUUAAUACGUUGACUAAC